GUGUCAGCCGCCGCGGUAAUACGUAGGGGGCGAGCGUUGUCCGAAUUCACUGGGCGUAAAGCGCGCGUAGGCGGACGCUUAAGUUGUGGGUGAAAUCCCGAGGCUCAACCUCGGAGCUGCCUGCAAAACUGGGUGUCUGGAGGUAUGGAGAGGGAAGUGGAAUUCCAGGUGUAGCGGUGAAAUGCGUAGAUAUCUGGAGGAACACCCGUGGCGAAGGCGGCUUCCUGGCCAUAUCCUGACGCUGAGGUGCGAAAGCUAGGGGAGCGAACGGGAUUAGAUACCCGGGUAGUCC
This 292-nucleotide ribosomal RNA is filed under the name uncultured bacterium. RNAcentral describes it as "partial 16S ribosomal RNA". It matches the Rfam family "Bacterial small subunit ribosomal RNA", at positions 505 to 796 of the family's 1533-position model. The record is from RNAcentral.